GACGAACGCUGGCGGCGUGCCUAAUACAUGCAAGUAGAACGCUGAAGAGAGGAGCUUACUCUUCUUGGAUGAGUUGCGAACGGGUGAGUAACGCGUAGGUAACCUGCCUUGUAGCGGGGGAUAACUAUGGAAACGAUAGCUAAUACCGCAUAACAAUGGAUGAAACAUGUCAUUUAUUUGAAAGGGGCAAUUGCUCCACUACAAGAUGGACCUGCGUUGUAUUAGCUAGUAGGUGAGGUAAUGGUUCACCUAGGCGACGAUACAUAGCCGACCUGAGAGGGUGAUCGGCCACACUGGGACUGAGACACGGCCCAGACUCCUACGGGAGGCAGCAGUAGGGAAUCUUCGGCAAUGGGGGCAACCCUGACCGAGCAACGCCGCGUGAGUGAAGAAGGUUUUCGGAUCGUAAAGCUCUGUUGUAAGUCAAGAACGGGUGUGAGAGUGGAAAGUUCACACUGUGACGGUAGCUUACCAGAAAGGGACGGCUAACUACGUG
This 496-nucleotide ribosomal RNA is filed under the name uncultured bacterium. Its description in RNAcentral is "partial 16S ribosomal RNA". It matches the Rfam family "Bacterial small subunit ribosomal RNA", at positions 28 to 507 of the family's 1533-position model. The record is from RNAcentral.